This 253-nucleotide ribosomal RNA is filed under the name uncultured bacterium. RNAcentral describes it as "partial 16S ribosomal RNA". It matches the Rfam family "Bacterial small subunit ribosomal RNA", at positions 524 to 776 of the family's 1533-position model. The record is from RNAcentral.
UACAGAGGGGGCAAGCGUUAUUCGGAAUUAUUGGGCGUAAAGGGCGCGUAGGCGGCUUGGCAAGUGGAUGGUGAAAUCCCUCGGCUUAACCGAGGAACUGCCGUCCAAACUGCUUUGCUUGAGACCGGGAGAGGUGAGUGGAAUUCCCAGUGUAGCGGUGAAAUGCGUAGAUAUUGGGAGGAACACCAGUGGCGAAGGCGGCGAUCUGGGCAGAUACUGACGCUGAGGUGCGAAAGCGUGGGGAGCAAACAGG